UAAGGAAUAUUGGUCAAUGGACGCAAGUCUGAACCAGCCAUGCCGCGUGAAGGAUGAAGGCCCUCUGGGUUGUAAACUUCUUUUAUCUGGGACGAAAAACGGGCUUUCUAGCUCACUUGACGGUACCAGAGGAAUAAGCACCGGCUAACUCC
Molecule: ribosomal RNA, 152 nt
Filed under: uncultured bacterium
Lineage: Bacteria
Description: partial 16S ribosomal RNA
Rfam family: Bacterial small subunit ribosomal RNA
Source: RNAcentral